RNAcentral lists this ribosomal RNA (238 nucleotides) under uncultured bacterium. RNAcentral's name for it is "partial 16S ribosomal RNA". It matches the Rfam family "Bacterial small subunit ribosomal RNA", at positions 96 to 334 of the family's 1533-position model. The record is from RNAcentral.
UGGCGGACGGGUGAGUAACGCGUGGGUAACCUGCCUUGUACUGGGGGACGACAGUUAGAAAUGACUGCUAAUACCGCAUAAGCGCACAGUAUCGCAUGAUACGGUGUGAAAAACUCCGGUGGUACAAGAUGGACCCGCGUCUGAUUAGCUAGUUGGUAAGGUAACGGCUUACCAAGGCGACGAUCAGUAGCCGACCUGAGAGGGUGACCGGCCACAUUGGGACUGAGACACGGCCCAA